UACGUACCGUCCAAACGUUAUUCGGAAUCACUGGGCUUAAAGAGUUCGUAGGCGGCUCAGAAAGUUGGGUGUGAAAUCCCUCGGCUCAACCGAGGAAUUGCGCUCAAAACUACUGAGCUAGAGGGAGAUAGAGGUGAGCGGAACUGAUGGUGGAGCGGUGAAAUGCGUUGAUAUCAUCAGGAACACCGGAGGCGAAGGCGGCUCACUGGGUCUUUCCUGACGCUGAGGAACGAAAGCUAGGGGAGCGAACGGG
This 253-nucleotide ribosomal RNA is filed under the name uncultured bacterium. RNAcentral's name for it is "partial 16S ribosomal RNA". It matches the Rfam family "Bacterial small subunit ribosomal RNA", at positions 524 to 776 of the family's 1533-position model. The record is from RNAcentral.